Small nucleolar RNA from Eublepharis macularius, 208 nucleotides. RefSeq annotates it as small nucleolar RNA U3. The record is from RefSeq and is a predicted model, not a curated record. The transcript has a single exon. NCBI's taxonomy places the organism in Eukaryota, Metazoa, Chordata, Lepidosauria, Squamata, Eublepharidae.
AAGAUCAUGCUUUCAGGGAUCAUUUCUAUAGUUAAUAACUAGAGAAGUGCUUUCGAAAGUGAUCGGAACGUCCAACCACGAGGAGGAGAUGAAGUGUGUUCUCUUGAGCGUGAAACAAAUAGGAAAUGUUUUCAGCUUUUCCUGUUAUUGAGGAUCGUUCUACCUUCUUUUUAAGAAGGUUGGAGAGAGAACACACAUUCUGAGUGGU